Molecule: non-coding RNA, 91 nt
Filed under: Arthrobacter sp.
Lineage: Bacteria; Bacillati; Actinomycetota; Actinomycetes; Micrococcales; Micrococcaceae
Description: Glycine sequence
Rfam family: Glycine riboswitch aptamer
About the family: This family represents the bacterial glycine riboswitch. Glycine riboswitches usually consist of two metabolite-binding aptamers domains with similar structures in tandem. The aptamers cooperatively bind glycine to regulate the expression of downstream genes.
Source: RNAcentral
UCACGCGCAGCUGGAGAGCCUCGAACAUCAAUCGGGCACCGAAGGGGCAAGCACCCGCAAUCUCUCAGGUACCAAGGACAGCUGCGCAAGG